Molecule: ribosomal RNA, 550 nt
Filed under: uncultured bacterium
Lineage: Bacteria
Description: bacterial SSU rRNA
Rfam family: Bacterial small subunit ribosomal RNA
Source: RNAcentral
UGUACCCUUCUCUAAGGAAUAGCCUCUGGAAACGGAGAGUAAUACCUUAUACGCCCUUCGGGGGAAAGAUUUAUCGGAGAGGGAUCAGCCCGCGUUAGAUUAGAUAGUUGGUGGGGUAACGGCCUACCAAGUCUACGAUCUAUAGCUGGUUUUAGAGGAUGAUCAGCAACACUGGGACUGAGACACGGCCCAGACUCCUACGGGAGGCAGCAGUGGGGAAUCUUGGACAAUGGGCGCAAGCCUGAUCCAGCCAUGCCGCGUGAGUGAUGAAGGCCUUAGGGUCGUAAAGCUCUUUCGCCAGGGAUGAUAAUGACAGUACCUGGUAAAGAAACCCCGGCUAACUCCGUGCCAGCAGCCGCGGUAAUACGGAGGGGGUUAGCGUUGUUCGGAAUUACUGGGCGUAAAGCGCGCGUAGGCGGGUUGUUAAGUUAGAGGUGAAAUCCCGGGGCUCAACCCCGGAACUGCCUUUAAUACUGGCAACCUAGAGUUCGAGAGAGGUGAGUGGAAUUCCGAGUGUAGAGGUGAAAUUCGUAGAUAUUCGGAGGAACAC